UGCUGGAGGUAUCAGAAGUGCGAAUGCUGACAUAAGUAACGAUAAAGCGGGUGAAAAGCCCGCUCGCCGGAAGACCAAGGGUUCCUGUCCAACGUUAAUCGGGGCAGGGUGAGUCGACCCCUAAGGCGAGGCCGAAAGGCGUAGUCGAUGGGAAACGGGUUAAUAUUCCCGUACUUGGUGUUACUGCGAAGGGGGGACGGAGAAGGCUAUGUUGGCCGGGCGACGGUUGUCCCGGUUUAAGCGUGUAGGUGUGUGUUCCAGGUAAAUCCGGUUCACUUUAACACUGAGGCGUGAYGACGAGGCACUACGGUGCUGAAGCAACAAAUGCCCUGCUUCCAGGAAAAGCCUCUAAGCAUCAGGUAACAUCAAAUCGUACCCCAAACCGACACAGGUGGUCAGGUAGAGAAUACCAAGGCGCUUGAGAGAACUCGGGUGAAGGAACUAGGCAAAAUGGUGCCGUAACUUCGGGAGAAGGCACGCUGACAYGUAGGUGAAGUGAUUUACUCAYGGAGCUGAAGUCAGUCGAAGAUACCAGCUGGCUGCAACUGUUUAUUAAAAACACAGCACUGUGCAAACACGAAAGUGGACGUAUACGGUGUGACGCCUGCCCGGUGCCGGAAGGUUAAUUGAUGGGGUCAGCGCAAGCGAAGCUCCUGAUCGAAGCCCCGGUAAACGGCGGCCGUAACUAUAACGGUCCUAAGGUAGCGAAAUUCCUUGUCGGGUAAGUUCCGACCUGCACGAAUGGCGUAAUGAUGGCCAGGCUGUCUCCACCCGAGACUCAGUGAAAUUGAACUCGCUGUGAAGAUGCAGUGUACCCGCGGCAAGACGGAAAGACCCCGUGAACCUUUACUAUAGCUUGACACUGAACAUUGAGCCUUGAUGUGUAGGAUAGGUGGGAGGCUUUGAAGUGUGGACGCCAGUCUGCAUGGAGCCGRCCUUGAAAUACCACCCUUUAAUGUUUGAUGUUCUAACGUGGACCCGUGAUCCGGGUUGCGGACAGUGUCUGGUGGGUAGUUUGACUGGGGCGGUCUCCUCCUAAAGAGUAACGGAGGAGCACGAAGGUUGGCUAAUCCUGGUCGGACAUCAGGAGGUUAGUGCAAUGGCAUAAGCCAGCUUGACUGCGAGCGUGACGGCGCGAGCAGGUGCGAAAGCAGGUCAUAGUGAUCCGGUGGUUCUGAAUGGAAGGGCCAUCGCUCAACGGAUAAAAGGUACUCCGGGGAUAACAGGCUGAUACCGCCCAAGAGUUCAUAUCGACGGCGGUGUUUGGCACCUCGAUGUCGGCUCAUCACAUCCUGGGGCUGAAGUAGGUCCCAAGGGUAUGGCUGUUCGCCAUUUAAAGUGGUACGCGAGCUGGGUUUAGAACGUCGUGAGACAGUUCGGUCCCUAUCUGCCGUGGGCGCUGGAGAACUGAGGGGGGCUGCUCCUAGUACGAGAGGACCGGAGUGGACGCAUCACUGGUGUUCGGGUUGUCAUGCCAAUGGCACUGCCCGGUAGCUAAAUGCGGAAGAGAUAAGUGCUGAAAGCAUCUAAGCACGAAACUUGCCCCGAGAUGAGUUCUCCCUGAGACUU
RNAcentral lists this ribosomal RNA (1569 nucleotides) under Salmonella enterica. RNAcentral describes it as "partial 23S ribosomal RNA". Lineage: Bacteria; Pseudomonadati; Pseudomonadota; Gammaproteobacteria; Enterobacterales; Enterobacteriaceae. The record is from RNAcentral.